Molecule: ribosomal RNA, 437 nt
Filed under: uncultured bacterium
Lineage: Bacteria
Description: partial 16S ribosomal RNA
Rfam family: Bacterial small subunit ribosomal RNA
Source: RNAcentral
AGCGAACGCUGGCGGCAGGCUUAACACAUGCAAGUCGAGCGGGCAUCCUUGUGGUGUCAGCGGCAGACGGGUGAGUAACGCGUGGGAACGUGCCCUUCGGGUCGGAAUAACUCAGGGAAACUUGAGCUAAUACCGGAUACGUGCGAGAGCAGAAAGGUUUAUCUGCCGAAGGAUCGGCCCGCGUCUGAUUAGCUAGUUGGUGAGGUUACGGCUCACCAAGGCGACGAUCAGUAGCUGGUCUGAGAGGAUGAUCAGCCACACUGGGACUGAGACACGGCCCAGACUCCUACGGGAGGCAGCAGUGGGGAAUAUUGGACAAUGGGGGCAACCCUGAUCCAGCCAUGCCGCGUGAGUGAUGACGGCCUUAGGGUUGUAAAGCUCUUUUCUCCGGGACGAUAAUGACGGUACCGGAGGAAUAAGCCCCGGCUAACUUCGUG